CACGUAGGCGGGUUGCUAAGUCGGGGGUGAAAUCCUGGAGCUCAACUCCAGAACUGCCUUCGAUACUGGCGAUCUUGAGUCCGGGAGAGGUGAGUGGAACUGCGAGUGUAGAGGUGAAAUUCGUAGAUAUUCGCAAGAACACCAGUGGCGAAGGCGGCUCACUGGCCCGGUACUGACGCUGAGGUGCGAAAGCGUGGGGAGCAAACGGGAUUAGAUACCCUGGUAGUCCACGCUGUAAACGAUGGAUGCUAGCCGUUGGCGAGCUUGCUCGUCAGUGGCGCAGCUAACGCUUUAAGCAUCCCGCCUGGGGAGUACGGUCGCAAGAUUAAA
This 330-nucleotide ribosomal RNA is filed under the name uncultured bacterium. RNAcentral's name for it is "bacterial SSU rRNA". It matches the Rfam family "Bacterial small subunit ribosomal RNA", at positions 568 to 898 of the family's 1533-position model. The record is from RNAcentral.